This is a non-coding RNA of Labrus bergylta (ballan wrasse), 995 nucleotides long. The record is from RefSeq and is a predicted model, not a curated record. Lineage: Eukaryota; Metazoa; Chordata; Actinopteri; Labriformes; Labridae.
UCAGAGACUGCUACAGGAAGUGACUGAUCAAGCCCUGCCUAUAAAGGAAGCAGGAAGUGGAGGGUUCCUUCUUUAAUCUUCAAGGCUGCACAGAGCAGGCAGCAACAGAAAUUUUUCACUCCUUAUUCAAUGUGGUGAAUAAGUCAAAAGAGUAACUAACAUUCUGACUCACUCCAUACGUGCACCAUACAUGUGGAGGACUGCACACACACCUGUGGAGGAUGUAGAGGACCAUCUCUUUGCUUCCUGCACUGGCAGCGUGAUGACGUCAACUGCAGCCGGACGAGUCGAGUGAGGUGAGGUGGGGCUCCCUUCAGGUGGGGCUCCCUUCAGGUGGGGCUCCCUUCAGGUGGGGCUCCCUUCAGGUGGGGCUCCCUUCAGGUGGGGCUCCCUUCAGGUGGGGCUCCUGCAGCUGAUGAUUCACUUCAAAGACACAUGGGCAGCCUGACCAAAACAAGAUGAAGAGCUGUUAGCAUGUCUGCUACACCAUGCUGCCUCACUUCCUUCAACAUUUGGUGUUUCCUCGCUCUGAAGAGAAGGAUCUGUGCUGCAGCUGGAAGGAUUUUUUUUAAGAAUAAAGUUUACUUGAUAGCUGUUUUCUUUCAGUCAUAGUUUGUUGUUUUUAUCUUUCAGCUAUAGAUUUAGUUUAAAGUCUGUUUGCGUUAACUUUCAUUUGCAGUUUUCUCUUAAAACACUUUCAAAUUGUAUUAUGAAAGUCUUAAUUUGUUUCAUGUUGUCAGCAUCUUCAAUUCCUAAUGAAUGUUUUGUUGUAGUUGUUUCCUUCUUUGUUAAUCAGCUGUGAUAUUUGUUUUCAUUUGAAGUUUGGAUUUUUUUUAUAACAUUAGAUAAAUACAGACAAGUUUCCUCAGAACAAUGAAAGCUGUAAGCUACUAUAAAUAAAACACCUGGCAGAUAACCAGAACAUAAUUACAGAAGUCACUGAUGCAGAAUGGACAGCAGUAGUUUUAUUACAAUAAAAUAUUGAACAGCCAUGA